GGCUGUGAAGGGCAGGGGCAGCUGGGCGGCCUGACUAUUUGGGGCUCUGCAGGCCGGGUUCCCUCCCUUCGCUGUUCUGUGCGGGGGCCCAGAGUCCAGCCCUGGGACUCAUGCCCGACCAGGACUCACGACCCAUCCCGGAGCGGAUCUACGACCUCAGAAUCGACUCCAAAGACAGGCUUCGGCAUCUUGCUCCCCACCCUUGAGAGCAGAAAGCACCAAAAUAGCAGCAUGAAUCACUCGGAAACUGUCAUGUAAUGCACGGGCCAGGACACCUUCUGCGGCACAGCUUCUGCUUGUGUUCCAGGAAUCUGGGGAAGGGGACACUGGCGGACUGCAUCACCACCUCCCCGUCCCACUCGAGAGAGCUCUGAAUCUACAAAGAAAUUUGAAGAAGCCCAAGUCGGUAAAAAAUUAUAAGAGCUGACAUUUUUUAACAUUCAGGAGUGACUCUACCGUGACCUUGGAUAAACUUAAGCUUUAGGGUCUUC
This is a long non-coding RNA of Herpailurus yagouaroundi (jaguarundi), 491 nucleotides long. RefSeq lists it as uncharacterized. The record is from RefSeq and is a predicted model, not a curated record. The transcript has 2 exons. Lineage: Eukaryota; Metazoa; Chordata; Mammalia; Carnivora; Felidae.